This 377-nucleotide transfer-messenger RNA is filed under the name Azospirillum rugosum. It matches the Rfam family "Alphaproteobacteria transfer-messenger RNA". From Rfam's summary of the family: Bacterial tmRNA, also known as 10Sa RNA or SsrA, is named for its dual tRNA and mRNA-like properties. Its role is to liberate the mRNA from a stalled ribosome. To accomplish this part of the tmRNA is used as a reading frame that ends in a translation stop signal. Lineage: Bacteria; Pseudomonadati; Pseudomonadota; Alphaproteobacteria; Rhodospirillales; Azospirillaceae. The record is from RNAcentral.
CCCCUUUCAAUGCUCGGACGAAGGGCCUAUAUUAAGCCCGUCGGUCGCACCGACUACGGCGAUAAACGCCUUGCGGAAUAAGCGUUGUGGACCCGGGGGCGGUACCCGGCGCCUCCACCAAACAAACCACCGUCCUCUCAGGUGUUGGCCUUUGGGAACGGGUUCGUUGGGGGCGAAAUAGGAUCGACACGCGUGGUAAAGGCAUGGUCUUCGCUCGGCAUGGUUCCGCCGUUAUCGGGCCAUUGCAAUAGUUGCCAACGACAACGUUGCUCCGGUCGCCGUUGCCGCCUAACAGCGGUAACUGACCGAAAUCAAUCCCCGAUGGGUAGCACCUGAGGGUGGGGCCGUGGGCCGCCUAGCAACAGAAGGCCCACACC